AUUGAACGCUGGCGGCAUGCCUUACACAUGCAAGUCGAACGGCAGCAUGAUCUAGCUUGCUAGAUUGAUGGCGAGUGGCGAACGGGUGAGUAAUACAUCGGAACGUGCCCUGUAGUGGGGGAUAACUAGUCGAAGGAUUAGCUAAUACCGCAUACGACCUGAGGGUGAAAGUGGGGGACCGCAAGGCCUCAUGCUAUAGGAGCGGCCGAUGUCUGAUUAGCUAGUUGGUGAGGUAAAGGCUCACCAAGGCGACGAUCAGUAGCUGGUCUGAGAGGACGAUCAGCCACACUGGGACUGAGACACGGCCCAGACUCCUACGGGAGGCAGCAGUGGGGAAUUUUGGACAAUGGGCGAAAGCCUGAUCCAGCAAUGCCGCGUGUGUGAAGAAGGCCUUCGGGUUGUAAAGCACUUUUGUCCGGAAAGAAAUGGCUCUGGUUAAUACCUGGGGUCGAUGACGGUACCGGAAGAAUAAGGACCGGCUAACUACGUG
RNAcentral lists this ribosomal RNA (490 nucleotides) under uncultured bacterium. Its description in RNAcentral is "partial 16S ribosomal RNA". It matches the Rfam family "Bacterial small subunit ribosomal RNA", at positions 30 to 507 of the family's 1533-position model. The record is from RNAcentral.